CCUACGGGUGGCAGCAGUGAGGAAUAUUGGUCAAUGGGCGCGAGCCUGAACCAGCCAAGUCGCGUGAAGGAUGACGGUCCUAUGGAUUGUAAACUUCUUUUGUGCAGGAAUAAAGUGAGGAACGUGUUCCUUUUUGUAUGUACUGUACGAAUAAGCAUCGGCUAACUCCGUGCCAGCAGCCGCGGUAAUACGGAGGAUGCGAGCGUUAGCCGGUUUUAUGGGGGCGUAGGCGGGCUUAGACGUCCUGGGUGAAAGUUUGCAGCUUAACUGUAAAAUUGCCAUUGAAACUGUUAGUCUUGAGUGCAAAUGAGGUAGGCGGAAUGUGUUGUGUAGCGGUGAAAUGCUUAGAUAUAACACAGAACUCCGAUUGCGAAGGCAGCUUACUGGGAUGCAACUGACGCUGAUGCACGAAAGCGUGGGUAUCAAACAGGAUUAGAUACCCCUGUAGUC
This 450-nucleotide ribosomal RNA is filed under the name uncultured bacterium. RNAcentral's name for it is "partial 16S ribosomal RNA". It matches the Rfam family "Bacterial small subunit ribosomal RNA", at positions 338 to 795 of the family's 1533-position model. The record is from RNAcentral.